CAGUCGCCGCGGGAAUACGUAGGUGGCAAGCGUUGUCCGGAAUUAUUGGGCGUAAAGGGCUCGCAGGCGGUUUCUUAAGUCUGAUGUGAAAGCCCCCGGCUCAACCGGGGAGGGUCAUUGGAAACUGGGAAACUUGAGUGCAGAAGAGGAGAGUGGAAUUCCACGUGUAGCGGUGAAAUGCGUAGAGAUGUGGAGGAACACCAGUGGCGAAGGCGACUCUCUGGUCUGUAACUGACGCUGAGGAGCGAAAGCGUGGGGAGCGAACAGGAUUAGAUACCCCUGAAGUCCCUGUCUCUUAUAC
Molecule: ribosomal RNA, 301 nt
Filed under: uncultured bacterium
Lineage: Bacteria
Description: partial 16S ribosomal RNA
Rfam family: Bacterial small subunit ribosomal RNA
Source: RNAcentral